GGUUCACUAUUAGUUUGCUGUUCUGUCAGGUUCACUAUUAGUUUGCUGUUCUGUCAGGUUCACUAAUAGUUUGCUGUUCUGUCAGGUUCACUAUUAGUUUGCUGUUCUGUCAGGUUCACUAUUAGUUUGCUGUUCUGUCGGGUUCACUAAUAGUUUGCUGUUCUGUCAGGUUCACUAUUAGUUUGCUGUUCUGUCAGGUUCACUAUUAGUUUGCUGUUCUGUCGGGUUCACUAUUAGUUUGCUGUUCUGUCGGGUUCACUAUUAGUUUGCUGUUCUGUCGGGUUCACUAUUAGUUUGCUGUUCUGUCAGGUUCACUAUUAGUUUGCUGUUCUGUCGGGUUCACUAUUAGUUUGCUGUUCUGUCGGGUUCACUAUUAGUUUGCUGUUCUGUCAGGUUCACUAUUAGUUUGCUGUUCUGUCAGGUUCACUAUUAGUUUGCUGUUCUGUCGGGUUCACUAUUAGUUUGCUGUUCUGUCGGGUUCACUAUUAGUUUGCUGUUCUGUCAGGUUCACUAUUAGUUUGCUGUUCUGUCAGGUUCACUAUUAGUUUGCUGUUCUGUCAGGUUCACUAUUAGUUUGCUGUUCUGUCAGGUUCACUAUUAGUUUGCUGUUCUGUCGGGUUCACUAUUAGUUUGCUGUUCUGUCGGGUUCACUAUUAGUUUGCUGUUCUGUCGGGUUCACUAUUAGUUUGCUGUUCUGUCGGGUUCACUAUUAGUUUGCUGUUCUGUCGGGUUCACUAUUAGUUUGCUGUUCUGUCGGGUUCACUAUUAGUUUGCUGUUCUGUCAGGUUCACUAUUAGUUUGCUGUUCUGUCAGGUUCACUAUUAGUUUGCUGUUCUGUCGGGUUCACUAUUAGUUUGCUGUUCUGUCGGGUUCACUAUUAGUUUGCUGUUCUGUCAGGUUCACUAUUAGUUUGCUGUUC
This is a long non-coding RNA of Oncorhynchus keta (chum salmon), 919 nucleotides long. RefSeq lists it as uncharacterized. Lineage: Eukaryota; Metazoa; Chordata; Actinopteri; Salmoniformes; Salmonidae. The record is from RefSeq and is a predicted model, not a curated record. The transcript is spliced from 3 exons.